AAAAAGGUGGUUUUAGUUCCCAUUACAAGAGGGCCCGCGGCCCAUUAGCUAGUUGUGAGGUAACGGCUCACCAAGGGCGACGUGCGUAGCCGACCUGAGAGGGUGAUCGGCCACACUGGGACUGAGACACGGCCCAGAUUCCUACGGGGAGGCAGCAGUAGGAAUCUUCCGCAAUGGACGAAAGUCUGACGGAGCAACGCCGCGUGAGUGAUGAAGGUUUUCGGAUCGUAAAACUCUGUUGUUAGGGAAGAACAAGUACCGUUCGAACAGGGCGGUACCUUGACGGUACCUAACCAGAAAGCCACGGCUAACUACGUGCCAGCAGCCGCGGUAAUACGUAGGUGGCAAGCGUUGUCCGGAAUUAUUGGGCGUAAAGCGCGCGCAGGCGGUUUCUUAAGUCUGAUGUGAAAGCCCCCGGCUCAACCGGGGAGGGUCAUUGGAAACUGGGGAACUUGAGUGCAGAAGAGGAGAGUGGAAUUCCACGUGUAGCGGUGAAAUGCGUAGAGAUGUGGAGGAACACCAGUGGCGAAGGCGACUCUCUGGUCUGUAACUGACGCUGAGGCGCGAAAGCGUGGGGAGCGAACAGGAUUAGAUACCCUGGUAGUCCACGCCGUAAACGAUGAGUGCUAAGUGUUAGAGGGUUUCCGCCCUUUAGUGCUGCAGCAAACGCAUUAAGCACUCCGCCUGGGGAGUACGGUCGCAAGACUGAAACUCAAAGGAAUUGACGGGGGCCCGCACAAGCGGUGGAGCAUGUGGUUUAAUUCGAAGCAACGCGAAGAACCUUACCAGGUCUUGACAUCCUCUGACAACCCUAGAGAUAGGGCUUCCCCUUCGGGGGCAGAGUGACAGGUGGUGCAUGGUUGUCGUCAGCUCGUGUCGUGAGAUGUUGGGUUAAGUCCCGCAACGAGCGCAACCCUUGAUCUUAGUUGCCAGCAUUCAGUUGGGCACUCUAAGGUGACUGCCGGUGACAAACCGGAGGAAGGUGGGGAUGACGUCAAAUCAUCAUGCCCCUUAUGACCUGGGCUACACACGUGCUACAAUGGGCAGAACAAAGGGCAGCGAAGCCGCGAGGCUAAGCCAAUCCCACAAAUCUGUUCUCAGUUCGGAUCGCAGUCUGCAAACUCGACUGCGUGAAGCGGAAUCGCUAGUAAUCGCGG
RNAcentral lists this ribosomal RNA (1157 nucleotides) under Bacillus licheniformis. RNAcentral describes it as "bacterial SSU rRNA". It matches the Rfam family "Bacterial small subunit ribosomal RNA", at positions 201 to 1347 of the family's 1533-position model. Lineage: Bacteria; Bacillati; Bacillota; Bacilli; Caryophanales; Bacillaceae. The record is from RNAcentral.